Molecule: unclassified non-coding RNA, 716 nt
Filed under: Leishmania donovani
Lineage: Eukaryota; Euglenozoa; Kinetoplastea; Trypanosomatida; Trypanosomatidae
Description: gene:LdHU3.32.3890(CDS-product:nucleoside_diphosp hate_kinase_b)
Source: RNAcentral
CUUCCAGCCUUUAUUCACUCUUCGAUUUCCUCUAACACCAUGUCCUCCGAGCGCACCUUUAUUGCCGUCAAGCCGGACGGCGUGCAGCGCGGCCUCGUUGGCGAGAUCAUCGCCCGCUUCGAGCGCAAGGGCUACAAGCUCGUCGCCUUGAAGAUACUGCAGCCGACAACGGAGCAGGCCCAGGGUCACUAUAAGGACCUUUCCUCCAAGCCGUUCUUCCCGGCCCUUGUGAAGUACUUCUCCUCUGGCCCGAUCGUGUGUAUGGUGUGGGAGGGUAAGAACGUGGUGAAGAGCGGCCGCGUGCUGCUCGGCGCGACGAACCCGGCGGACUCACAGCCUGGCACGAUCCGCGGCGACUUUGCCGUGGAUGUGGGCCGCAACGUGUGCCACGGCUCCGACUCCGUGGAGAGCGCGGAGCGCGAGAUCGCCUUUUGGUUCAAGGCGGAUGAGAUCGCGAGCUGGACGUCGCACUCCGUGUCCCAGAUCUACGAGUAGUGGAUGCUCGUGGAUUAUACACAGACACGCUAAGUCUUGAUUUCAGGAAAUGUUUGUGGCGUCGUCGUUCUCUUCGCUUUGCUGUAGUCAUUGCUUUGCGGGACUCUUCGAAAAGCCCAGAGAAUCCUUCGUCACUUUUUUUUUCGCUUGUGCUCUCCCUCUUGAGCAUGAUCAUAUACAUCCACUUUGUGGUCAAAUAGUGUGUUACACACUACAUAGGC